AGGACGAACGCUGGCGGCGUGCUUAACACAUGCAAGUCGAGCGGUAAGGCUCCUUCGGGGGUACACGAGCGGCGAACGGGUGAGUAACACGUGGGUGACCUGCCCUCAGCUCUGGGAUAAGCCUGGGAAACUGGGUCUAAUACUGGAUAUGACUGCGCAUCGCAUGGUGUGUGGUGGAAAGUUUUUUCGGCUGGGGAUGGGCCCGCGGCCUAUCAGCUUGUUGGUGGGGUGAUGGCCUACCAAGGCGACGACGGGUA
RNAcentral lists this ribosomal RNA (257 nucleotides) under uncultured bacterium. RNAcentral's name for it is "partial small subunit ribosomal RNA". It matches the Rfam family "Bacterial small subunit ribosomal RNA", at positions 26 to 285 of the family's 1533-position model. The record is from RNAcentral.